This 242-nucleotide unclassified non-coding RNA is filed under the name uncultured fungus. Its description in RNAcentral is "sequence contains ITS2". The stretch from base 1 to 52 matches the Rfam family "5.8S ribosomal RNA", at positions 103 to 154 of the family's 154-position model. Lineage: Eukaryota; Fungi. The record is from RNAcentral.
AACGCACAUUGCGCCCUCUGGUAUUCCGGGGGGCAUGCCUGUUCGAGCGUCAUUACAACCCUCAAGCUCUGCUUGGUAUUAGGCUCCACCUGCUACAGGCGGGCCUUAAAAUCAGUGGCGGUGCCAUCUGGCUUCAAGCGUAGUAAUAUUUCUCGUUUGGGAGUACCGGUUGCGUACCUGCUAUAAAACCCCAAUUUUUAAAGGUUGACCUCGGAUCAGGUAGGGAUACCCGCUGAACUUAA